GCACCUACCGAUUGAAUGAUUCGGUGAAGAUUCGGGACUGUGCCUGCUCCGUUCACGCGGGACUGGCGUGGGAACUUAUCUGAACCUCAUCAUUUAGAGGAAGGUGAAGUCGUAA
Molecule: ribosomal RNA, 115 nt
Filed under: Botrydiopsis sp.
Lineage: Eukaryota; Xanthophyceae; Mischococcales; Botrydiopsidaceae
Description: partial small subunit ribosomal RNA
Rfam family: Eukaryotic small subunit ribosomal RNA
Source: RNAcentral